Xenopus laevis (African clawed frog) is the source of this 6134-nucleotide long non-coding RNA. RefSeq lists it as uncharacterized. The record is from RefSeq and is a predicted model, not a curated record. NCBI's taxonomy places the organism in Eukaryota, Metazoa, Chordata, Amphibia, Anura, Pipidae. The transcript is spliced from 4 exons.
CUUAAGUUACUUUAGCUCAUAUAGGCAAGUGGCUAGUAGGCAUUUAGUUGGGCAUGUCAAAAUAAAGAGAGAAAUUUACUGUGGGGUUUUUUUUUAUGUUCACUUUAUAGUUCCGUCCACUAGUCGGUCAGCAAUAAGCGACACAGAUGCCCUUGCUAGGCCAUCAUACACCGUGCAAGUCUAAACUUCAGCAUAUUUGACUCUACGGCACUGAACUGCCAGCCAUCAACAUAUACAUUUCCUAUUGGCACAUCUGGCUUCUCGCUUGUAAAAGAGAUCAAGGACUCUACCUCGCAACAUGAUGACGAUAACAUCUCUACCACCAGUGGGUUUUCCUCUCGAGCAUCUGAUAAGGAUGUAGCAAUUUCAAAAAAAUGUCAGCAUGCCACCUCUUUGGUCUCCUGAAGUUGAUCGCUCAUAGUCUUUGUCCCAUAACUCCUCCAUGACCUCUAAUCUGUCUGCUUUCAGUUCUGUCACCAUCUCUUGGAAACACAUCUAUCUUAAACAGUCAGCUUGGGGAUUCUCCUUUUUAUCCUGGCAAAACAACAUAUGAAGGUGCAGCUGCAGUCCGUCCCUCACGUGUGCGCUCCACCCCAUAUCAAGUAAGACCAGAAAUUACUUUGCAUGUUGUGUUGAUAUUCAGCUUAUGAAAACCUGUGAUCUCCAAGGGUAGUCAUUAUGGGCAAAAUAGAUCUGUCCAAUUCCAAAGGUUUAUCCUAUAUUUUUACUAUACAAAGUUUAAUUCAUUACUUGCAAAGAAAUUUUGACUCCUCCCCCUCAAAUGCCUGCAUUUGCCAACACAUUAUUGUGACUGGUUUGAUAAGGCACAGUUAAUAGUUUCAAUUUUUAUUCCAUCAUUAAAGGAACAAAAAAAAAAUACAACUUGGUACAGACAUAAUAUCUUCCCUUCUAAAGAUACUUGGAUAAAGUGAAUUCUAUGACAUUAAAAUUAUGACUAAAAUUCUUGUUUUUUAUCAUUGUGUUGCAAAGUAACGACUUGAUAAUCUGGCAAUAGUAAAAUCUGAUGCUGUUCAAGUAUCAAAGCUAAUUCUGCUUGGUUUUUCAAUUUUAAUAAAAAGGGGCACUAAUGUUAACUUAUAAGAUUUUUAUGAGUGUGUGCUCUGUAAUCCCUCAUUAACAAUGCAAUGAUAAACAGAGAAUGAUACCUCACAGAUAAGGUCACAUACACUAAAAAAUAAUUUGUGUUAAAUGUGUUUUAUAUUGAAUUGUUUCAGUGAAUGAAAACAAGUAGGAUUAUGUGAACUCCUCAAAAGUAAAUGAGGCAGUGCAGUGUCGGACGGGGGGGGGGCCCACUGGGCUGCCACAUCAGGGGCCCGCACACACCUGACCUGGGCCCCAACUCCAGCCCCCCCCCCCUUUCCAGCCAAAAUCCUCCUUCAUUCACCCCAUUCUCCUCCAUCACCAGCAUGUACCUGCUUUUCUUCUAUUGGUUGGGGCAGGAGAGUUCAGGCACAGAGUUUCAAGCAGGGGGGGAGUGGAUCUGGGCUGGUGGAGCUCAGAAGGCCCAGUGUUACCCUGAGGUAGUGAUUAUAAAAAUCCUAUUUUUUUUUAUUUUUGCACACCGUAUGACUAAGGCUUUAACUACCUCUACAUAAAUACACUACUACUGUACCUAAGUAUUUAGAAAUUCUUUUGACGCAAGUAUUCUUUGACGCAAGACCACUAACACACACGGUACCAUAUGCUUGUUUAUUGUAUUUUUUAUUUAACAAAAUAAAAAUUUCACCUUUAAAAAAAAAAAAUAGCCAAUGAGGGGGAAAUACAUCAUUUUUAAUACUGCACAGCAAAUAAAUGCAGGUGUUCUACUUUUCGUUUAACAUUUUCAAUAAAUACCGUAUUUACUCAAAUAUAAGCCGACCCGAAUAUAAGUCGAGGUACCUAACUUUACCUACGAAAACUGGGACUCGAGUAUAAGCCUAGACACAACUAAGACCGUUAGACAAGCAAAAUGGUACUUUCAGCACUAGGCUGCCAGUUGGUGCCUGAGGCUCAACAAAGACUGACAGGCAGGCAUUUUACUUAUUUAAAAAGGCUUGGUAUUACAGGUUAUGAUACAGAAUCGACCAAACCUAUCCCUUUGUAAUCGGAUUGUAGGUCAAGUACACACCUAUCAUGAUCAAGUAGCUUCUUUCUCAUCAUGACCUGAGAAAUCCCAAAACGAGCUAGUUCAACUACAACUCCCAAUAUAUAGCACAGCAGCCAAGUUGCAGAUCAACAGCUGGAGAAGCAUUCCGAUCUCCCUGGUAAUAGGGCACCGUAUAGGGUACAGUGCUCCCAAUUUUGAAAUUAUACACAGCCCCCUCUCUCCCAGCAGCGCACAUUCUGCCAAAGCGACCCCCCCCCCCAGUGAUCACCUGGACUUCUUUGCAAAGUUGAUGGUGACAGAGAAUUGCCAAAUGGAACGCGUUACUGUGUGCAUUGUCCCACUGCCAUGUGUUCCAGCGCGAUUAUACCCCAGCCAUCAACUACAUCUAUGCAAACGUCUGACAAGAAAACGCAAAUCAUUCGGGCCGACUUUGCACAGGUCCAAUAAAGUCGGCUCUUCAAUUCGCCGCGGCUUAAGUGUUAACAAAGUGCUGAGCUUUGUGCAGCAGCCCCUAUUCCCUCGCACAAUUGUUAUAGAGGCACAAGCAGCAGACACUUUACCGCUCUAUGCACAAGCCAUUACCGUAUGUUCUCACAGUUACCGUCCAUGGUGUCAGAGCAGCAGGAGGCCUCCUGGGUGGACCCUUCAUUCCUUCUCUCUUUUUUCACAGCUCGCUUGCCAAAUGGGUUGCCCUUGGCAACCAGAGCAAGCUCUGAUGUGUGCACAAGCUGUCAGUGAAGGCUAGCACAGGGAGGGAAUAUAUCCACAUGUGUGUCUGAGGCAGACUGUUAGCACACGGCACUGCUAGGUUAUAAAAGAGUAACCCCGGCUUGCUGCUGCUGCACGGCGAAUCACUGGGAGUUCAUAGAGAGCCACGAGAAUUAUGCUAACAUUGGGUAGCAGAAGGGGAUGCACAGGGCCUUUAUUUAUGCGUGCGCAUGUUCCUUUUUCUGAUUAACCAAUAUAAAAAUUAGUUCCGCUAAAUAGUUUCUCAAUAACUUUGUUUAUACAGUAUGUGGUUUCCUGGACUUGGUUCUCCUGGAGGAACAGUGCAGGGGCACGGGACUCCUGUCAGUAGCCCAGCCACUCGUAUACUGACUCGAGUAUAAGCUGAGGUAGACUUUUUCAGCACAUUUUCGAUGCUGAAAAACUCUUGCUUAUACUCGAGUAUAUACGGUAAACUAGUGUCGCAGUUCUGACUCCUAUAUAAUUAGGUGACUAAUGAGAUUUUGUAUCGACACCUUUUUGCUUUACAGGUUAACUGCUGUUUAUCUCAUUUCAAGUUUUUCUCUUAUUUUUUAAUAUAAUUUGCAUUUGGGGGGCUGGAGGAGCCACCCCAGAGAAAUUCCUUCUUGGCCUGAGAGUCGUGACGUGACAGUUCAGUGCUUAUUGGUCCAAACAGAGUUUUAGUUGUUCCUUCAACCAAUGUAAACCUGACUUCAUCAACGACAUGAGCUGUGAUCAAGGAGUAUUAUUUAGCAGCCUUACAGAAGGUAAUAUGGGAGCUUUGCUGUGUUACCGCUAUAUCAAAAUGGCAAAUUUAUGACUUGUGGUUUCAGCUCCAUGCGAACUAUAUAUUUUUUUUUAUUGUCAGACAUAAGAUUGUGUGAGUCAAGGAUUUGGUAAUCAAAUGUCUUCUUGCGCCCCAUUCCUGUAUAAGCGACCACUAAAUCAACUGAAACAGAAUGAUAGUUGAAUAGGUGUAUGUCCAAACGUGAUUCAUUCAAAGAAUUUACAAGGCCGACUUCAUACUUGUGCUUGUCUUGCUGGCAAGAAGUCUCUUUUUGUGGGAAUAUUCAAAUUUGGUCCAUUUCUCCUGUAAAUGUUACUAUUGAUGAUUGUGAUACAGUAAUAAUUGGUCUUUUGGUCUAUAACAAAACCAAAAAAAACCCAGCCUUUCCUGUUUCAUCUGUCUGGUUAGAAAGUUCCAUGAAGCCUGUUAUUACAUAAGCAACCUAAAUACCAAAACAAUACAGACCAAACUGGUUUUCACUAAAAUGCACAUUAUUAUAUACUGCUAAUUGGGUCACCACAUAGAGCAGAAGUCUUAAUGGGGACCCGUCACCCCAAAAAAAUAAUCCAAAUCCUAUUUUAACAUGUUAGUCAAGCAAAAUGAACUUUAAUUACACUGUGAAUUAUUCGAAUCUUGUUUCCUUCAGUUUGUGAAUUCGUAAUUAUAGCAAGCAGGCAGGAGCCAUUUUGUGGACACUGUUAUUAAGACAAGCCUUGCAUAAUCUCUGAAUCUUGUUUGUGCACCAGAAUGGGGGACCCAAUGUUAGCCCUUUGGAAGAGACAUUUUUGUAGCCUUUAUCAGAAGUGUAGACCCCCCCCCCAAGAUAUCUCUAAUAAAAGUACACUUGUAUAGGCUCACUCAUCUCUACACCAACAGCAACUUCUGCAGCCUUUGUUCCAGCUCAUGUUCUGCACUCUAUGAUUUUCCUCCGCUUCCCAGGCAGCUUUUCAGAACCAAGAUGGAAAUCUAUUCCACUUUGCUGCUAUUCCCUGCUAUUUUGGCAGAAGGGAAAGAUUCUCAAAAGCUAAACAUCCCUUUAUUCCUUUUGAUUGCUUGAUCUCUGUCAAAUAUAUCAUCAAUCAUUAACUGGGUAUCUGUAUAAACUUGCACUGAAAACUCCAAUAUCUGUGACUGUAGCAUAAUUAUUAUGUGAAUAAGUAUAUGAUUUGUAUUGCUUUUAAAUGACAUGGAGAACUUUGUAUUUCAAUUGAGUAUUCCUUCAUUCCUGGGCAUGUCAAUUUCACACAAUUCUGGACCUUUUGAUAAGUAGAGACAAUUGAAACCAUUGAAAAGUAGAGGCUAAAAUAUUCUAGAUUCAGUGUUACUGCAUCAUAUUUUGUAUCAUUUGUCUCACGUUUAAGGCAAAUAUAAUGAUUUACUGAAACAAAGUAGUCAAAUAAGUGACUCACAUUUAAAGCAUUCUUCAACUAUUUGGGUCUUCAAAAAUAUAACAAUACUGGAGCCGUUACUGUGCAGUUUGAUCUAAUCAUUAAUAGUUAUCUGCAUUCCCCUGAAUAUUAAAUAUAGCAUAUAUACUUUAUUUGCAACUGUGAGGCAAAUUAUUAGACUUUCUCCAAAAAAUUGCUUUCAUUAAUAAGACGCAGCUUGAGUCAUUCUGCAUGAGCAACCCAGUCAGUGUACUCCUCACUCAUUUCUCAUUCUUUAAUGACUGAAUGGCUUUAAUGAAAGAAUCCCUUGUGCCCACUACCCAACCACAUCACUGCCGCUGAAUAAAACUCUACUGGCCCCUUGUAUGUGGUCUAGAAAGCUGCCCAGCAAAGUUGGUGGCUGCCAAAUUGGCCUGAUUAGGCUUCUUGGCUAUCCCAAGAAAACAAACUGGUCCUUUCUUCAUUUAGGCACACUGCUGAUAGUGUGUAAUGUGAUGUGAGCACUUUGUAGGAAUGACAGACAGCUGAAGAUUUAGGGCAAAACUCUACUUGGACUGUAUCCAGGGCUAUGAGUAGGUGCCCAUUUUGGGACGAACACAUUAGGCUAAUGCAUGUCCUAAUAAUGAUUUUAUUAAUUUUUAACAUUAUUUGGGCUACUUUUUCACUAACAGUGGAUCUCUUACCAUCUUUUGCUGUAGAUUUACUCAACAAAACUCUUGUUGGCUCAUGAAAUGGGCAGAUUUGGCUCAAAAAUAGAAACGUGAGUAAUCGAAUGACCUUUCCUGAGAAUGUCAUUGUUGUUUUCUAAACUUUAGCAGUGCAUCAAUAGAAAUGACAUGUAUGUACAGGUAAAAAAAGGUAUGGGUUUUGAAUUUUCACAACUGAAUUGUAUUUUCUUCAAGUAUAAUAAUAAACUAAUUUAUUUUAAGAUAAUCUGACUUUCUUUUUUUGUGCAAAGUUGGCUUUACGUUGGCAGUUUCAUUUGGUUGGAACUUAUGAAAUCUGUUAAGGAACCCAUGGGCCUGCAAGUCUGACAGACACACCCCAUUAGCAACCAGUGUCUCCAGAAUUAAAAUCUGGUUCUAAUUAGUGAAUGUUAAAGGCAACGAGUUUCAGAACCACUUAU